Molecule: ribosomal RNA, 511 nt
Filed under: uncultured bacterium
Lineage: Bacteria
Description: bacterial SSU rRNA
Rfam family: Bacterial small subunit ribosomal RNA
Source: RNAcentral
GAUGAACGCUAGCGAUAGGCCUAACACAUGCAAGUCGAGGGGCAUCACAUGAAGUAGCAAUACGGAUGGUGGCGACCGGCGCACGGGUGAGUAACACGUAUGCAACCUGCCUUCAACAAGGGGAUAACCCGUUGAAAGACGGACUAAUACCCUAUAACACAGGGGUCCCGCAUGGGGAUAUUUGUUAAAGGACAACCGGUUGAAGAUGGGCAUGCGUUCCAUUAGCUAGUUGGCGGGUAAGGCCCACAAGGCAACGAUGGAUAGGGGAACUGAGAGGUUUAUCCCCCACACUGGUACUGAGACACGGACCAGACUCCUACGGGAGGCAGCAGUGAGGAAUAUUGGUCAAUGGACGCAAGUCUGAACCAGCCACGUCGCGUGAAGGAAGACGGCCCUACGGGUUGUAAACUUCUUUUGCAAGGGAAUAAGUGGGCCACGUGUGCCUUUUGCAAGUACCUUGCGAAUAAGGAUCGGCUAACUCCGUGCCAGCAGCCGCGGUAAAUACUGACUC